UCCAGACUCCUACGGGAGGCAGCAGUGGGGGAUAUUGCACAAUGGGGGGAACCCUGAUGCAGCGACGCCGCGUGGGUGAAGGAGCGUUUCGGCGCGUAAAGCCCUAUCGGCAGGGAAGAAGGAGGACGGUACCUGACUAAGAAGCCCCGGCUAACUACGUGCCAGCAGCCGCGGUAAUACGUAGGGGGCAAGCGUUAUCCGGAUUUACUGGGUGUAAAGGGGGCGCAGACGGCAGCGCAAGCCAGGAGUGAAAGCCCGGGGCCCAACCCCGGGACUGCUCUUGGAACUGCGCGGCUGGAGUGCAGGAGGGGCAGGCGGAAUUCCUGGUGUAGCGGUGAAAUGCGUAGAUAUCAGGAGGAACACCGGUGGCGAAGGCGGCCUGCUGGACGGCGACUGACGUUGAGGCCCGAAAGCGUGGGGAGCAAACAGGAUUAGAUACCCCGGUAACA
Molecule: ribosomal RNA, 449 nt
Filed under: uncultured bacterium
Lineage: Bacteria
Description: partial 16S ribosomal RNA
Rfam family: Bacterial small subunit ribosomal RNA
Source: RNAcentral